Thalassophryne amazonica is the source of this 151-nucleotide long non-coding RNA. RefSeq lists it as uncharacterized. The record is from RefSeq and is a predicted model, not a curated record. Lineage: Eukaryota; Metazoa; Chordata; Actinopteri; Batrachoidiformes; Batrachoididae. The transcript has 3 exons.
ACUCACCAAUAUAAAUAUCAUACUUCUAUGGAGGUAACUGUCUUUGCUGUUGGUGAGACGACUGGGUUGGCUGGUUGGAUAAAUGAUUGCGUACAUGCAAGAUGAAUGAAUGCAUGUUAUGGACUUUAAGUUGGAUUUAACAAAUCCAUAU